UGGUUGUCGUCAGCUCGUGUCGUGAGAUGUUGGGUUAAGUCCCGCAACGAGCGCAACCCCUGUGGUUAGUUGCCAGCAAGUAGCGUUGGGCACUCUAGCCAGACUGCCGGUGAUAAAUCGGAGGAAGUGGGAUGACGUCAAAUCAUCAUGCCCUUAUGUUCUGGGCUACACACGUGCUACAAUGGCCGGUACAGACGGACGCAAAGCCGCGAGGUGGAGCAAAUCCUAAAAAGCCGGUCUCAGUUCGGAUUGCAGGCUGCAAUUCGCCUGCAUGAAGUCGGAAUCGCUAGUAAUCGUGGAUCAGCAUGCCACGGUCGAAUACGUUCCCGGGCCUU
Molecule: ribosomal RNA, 335 nt
Filed under: uncultured Desulfosporosinus sp.
Lineage: Bacteria; Bacillati; Bacillota; Clostridia; Eubacteriales; Desulfitobacteriaceae
Description: bacterial SSU rRNA
Rfam family: Bacterial small subunit ribosomal RNA
Source: RNAcentral